Molecule: long non-coding RNA, 1926 nt
Organism: Chrysolophus pictus (golden pheasant)
Lineage: Eukaryota; Metazoa; Chordata; Aves; Galliformes; Phasianidae
Source: Ensembl
GGGGAAAAAAACAACAAUUACCAAACUGAAAAGAUUGUAUGUAGCUGUUGCACCAAGGAGCAGCUCUCAAGGAGUGAUAAUGGAGCAGAAGAAGCUCCGCGGUUCGCCUUGCUGGCUUUGACGAAAAUCAAGACGACAACAAUGCCCAAAUCCUUUUUCUAGUUUCUGAGCUGGAAAGAAAAGGAUAUCCAGUUUUCUAGAUGGUUUUCUUUUCCAGAUUCUCUGACAUCUGCUAAUGUGUCCUUACGCUUGUGCUGGGGAUGCACCAAAGGAAAGGCUAAGAGAUGUGAAUUUCCCAGUGGAGGGAUCUCCACCACUUCAUGAGCUCCUGUGACAGGCGAGUGUAGGAGCGUCCAUUCUUGAGGGCAAUGCCAGCCCUUGAAAUGCAAAAGCAUCCUCUUGAAAUGGAGUGUGAGACGAAUAAAGCAAGUGACUUUUCCACACCACGAAGAGAAGUGCUUUCUACCUCGCUGCUGCAGACGAUUAAGGAAAACAAUUGCGUUCUGACAACACGCAUUGACAUUUUAAAAUGAAAAAGAAAUGAAGAACAGAUUCUGGGAGGUUUGCCAUUAAUGAUAAUAGAUUUCCCUGAACGAAAGCCUUUUCAGAAGUCCGAUUCUGUUUUUCUUAUAACGGCAGCCACUCUGCAGGGGACAGCCAGUGCGUCAGAAGAGUUCAGGGGGUGACCUGGGGACUGAAGUGCAGUCUUUAAUUCCUCUUUGAAUACAGAAAAGCCAAAGGGAGCAGAGAUGUAAAGCUGAGAAUGUGCCUUGAAGAAACUCGCUCCUUCUAUGUCCCCUGUGCUGAAGGCUGAUUAGCUUUUGUUUCUUCCUCCAGCCUUAAUUGGGGGAACUGCUGUGUUCAUUUCCCUCCUGCCCUACUACACCGCUCCCCAGCAGUGUCACAUCAGCCAACGGCCAUGUGCCUCAGGAGGUGGCCUCACUCUGCUGUGGGGAAGCAGACAGCAUCCCCAGGGUCAGUUUUACAAUGUCAAGAAGAAUGGAAAAGCUGCAAGGCACGUACGCGUAAGAUGCUGUGCUCCUGGAAAGCUUUGGAUGGGUGCCAGGCAACAUUUGGUGGCAAAGAGAGAUGGUCUUGGAAAAAGGCAACCAGCCAAGCCCUUAUCCCACAACCUUACAGUUCCCGUGCAGUGGUAAUUCUGUUGGAGUGUGGAAGGAUGGCGAGCCUGCCUUCCUGCAGGCACACAUCUCGGUGAGUUCGACUGCACCAAGAACAGUUUCUUCCGUUCCACCCUUUUGCAUUUCCCUUAUGUGGUGAAAAAAAAGUCAUCCCAUGACCAGCAAGACUGAAAAAUCUGCUUUUUGCUUGUGGUUGGGCUCACUGUGCAGCUCCCAUGUGGUUUCUCUUGAGCUUAACUAGGGACAAACUAAUUGCUGGCUUUUCCUCUGACUCUGCUGUCAGAGGCCCCGCUGUCUGCUUUCAUCAGGGAGGAUGAAAUCUGUGAUACCCGGUGCUGUUUUCUGGGACCUCUUCCCUUCUUUUUGGGUGCAGUUAAAACAUGCUAGUAAGUUCAGAAAUGAUUGGUGUCAGAGGGAUGUUGUGACUCUGUGUACCCUCUAUCCAUGGGAUGUCAGGCUGGAAAAAGUGCCCAGAUGCAUCACAAAAUGCCCGUAAGCACUUGGCUCAAACAACACUUGCUGCAUACAGGUGCUCCAAAGGUGCUGUUGGGAUAAGGCAAGAGUUCAUCAUAGGAUCACAAAAUGACUGGGUUGGAAGUGUCCCUAGAGAUCAUAGAACUGUAGGAUGGCUGGAAGGGUCCUUAAAGAUCAUAUGACUAUAGAAUGGCUGGUUUAAAAGGGGCCUGAAAGAUCAUAGGACCACAGAAUGGUUGGUUUGGAAGGGUCUUCAAGGCCCAUCCAACCCCAACCCUUGCUGUGGGCUGAUUGCCCCCCAGCCAGAUCAGGC